RNAcentral lists this ribosomal RNA (757 nucleotides) under uncultured Rothia sp. RNAcentral's name for it is "bacterial SSU rRNA". It matches the Rfam family "Bacterial small subunit ribosomal RNA", at positions 82 to 846 of the family's 1533-position model. The record is from RNAcentral. Lineage: Bacteria; Bacillati; Actinomycetota; Actinomycetes; Micrococcales; Micrococcaceae.
GCACCGUGGAUUAGUGGCGAACGGGUGAGUAAUACGUGAGUGACCUACCUUUGACUCUGGGAUAAGCCUGGGAAACUGGGUCUAAUACCGGAUACGACCAAUCUCUGCAUGGGGUGUUGGUGGAAAGCGUUAUGGAGUGGUUUUAGAUGGGCUCACGGCCUAUCAGCUUGUUGGUGAGGUAAUGGCUUACCAAGGCGACGACGGGUAGCCGGCCUGAGAGGGUGACCGGCCACACUGGGACUGAGACACGGCCCAGACUCCUACGGGAGGCAGCAGUGGGGAAUAUUGCACAAUGGGCGCAAGCCUGAUGCAGCGACGCCGCGUGAGGGAUGACGGCCUUCGGGUUGUAAACCUCUGUUAGCAUCGAAGAAGCGAAAGUGACGGUAGGUGCAGAGAAAGCGCCGGCUAACUACGUGCCAGCAGCCGCGGUAAUACGUAGGGCGCGAGCGUUGUCCGGAAUUAUUGGGCGUAAAGAGCUUGUAGGCGGUUGGUCGCGUCUGCUGUGAAAGGCCGGGGCUUAACUCCGGUUUUGCAGUGGGUACGGGCUAACUAGAGUGCAGUAGGGGAGACUGGAAUUCCUGGUGUAGCGGUGGAAUGCACAGAUAUCAGGAGGAACACCGAUGGCGAAGGCAGGUCUCUGGGCUGUAACUGACGCUGAGAAGCGAAAGCAUGGGGAGCGAACAGGAUUAGAUACCCUGGUAGUCCAUGCCGUAAACGUUGGGCACUAGGUGUGGGGGACAUUCCACGUUUUCCGCGC